GCCAGGUGUGGUGGCCUGCACCUGUAGUCCAGCUAUUUGGGAGGCUGAGGCAGGAGUAUCACUUGAGCCUGGGAGGUCAAGGCUGCAGUGAGCUGUGAUCACACCACUGCACUCCUGCACUCUAGCCUGGGCAACAGAGUGAGAUCCUGUCUCAA
Homo sapiens (human) is the source of this 155-nucleotide non-coding RNA. It matches the Rfam family "Metazoan signal recognition particle RNA". From Rfam's summary of the family: The signal recognition particle (SRP) is a universally conserved ribonucleoprotein. It is involved in the co-translational targeting of proteins to membranes. NCBI's taxonomy places the organism in Eukaryota, Metazoa, Chordata, Mammalia, Primates, Hominidae. The record is from Rfam.